CCGUUAUUGCUCUAUUAAAUUUCUCUAGGGACAGAAAGAACUUCCAUCAGCUGGUGAGACUUGCAAUUACAGCUAAACAAACUGUCGCCUUUUAAACAGGAUCCGUUUCUGCACAGCCCUGCAUAAUGCCUUCCCUGUUGGUGAAUCACGCCCGCCUCACGUCCAUUUCCAGGCCCCUGAUCUCCUCUUCCUGUGGUUCCUUGUGCCUGGAGACAUUCCUGUCAGCUUUGCAGUAGAAUCUCCACAAGCUGCCCUGUGCUGAGGACUCAGGCUUGGGAUCAUCGAUCAAGACCUCCAGAGUCCCAGAAAGUAAACUGGACCGGAUGGGAACAAACUGGAUUGGAUGGGCCUAAGGCUUCCUCCCUCCUAGUGUGUUCUAGAUUUUUCUGGAAAAGUGCUCUUCAGUGAAGAAUGAUGGAAUCUUGGGGCUUUUUUGGGACAACACUUUUGGGUCAGUUCUUUCUGGUUGAACAUUUAUUGUGGACAGUUUACAUUUAUCAAGCCCAUGUCCUGUGUCUGUGAUGACACAGGAGACACACGAUGAAUGAAACCAAGUUGUUGCCCUUGAGGAGCUCAGGAGACAGGGAAAGAAGGAACCUUUCAAGAGCCAGGAGCCUUUGGGUUGCUCAGUGAAGAAAUAGAGACCAAAAGGAAAGAUUAUCUUGGGCUUGCAUGACUAGGUGUCCUGGGCUCAAAUGAUCUCAUCCGGGCUCCAUUUGUCCCCUCUGUUCCUUGGCUCUGCAUGUCCUGGCCAUUCCUGGUGCACCAGCGUCACUCUCUCUGCUUUUGACAUGCUCUAGACUUGGAGGAAGGGACAAGACAAAGCAAAGAAAAAAACCAGGCUCUCUUUUGGCAGGCAUGUGUGAAAUCUAAGAAUUAUUGCUGCGUGUGGUGGCAGGAGGAUCUAAAGUUCAAAGCCAGCCUCAGCAAUGGCGAGGCACUAAGCAACGCAGUGAGACCCUGUCUCUAAAUAAAAUACCAAAUAGGGCUGGGGAUG
This 997-nucleotide long non-coding RNA is filed under the name Marmota monax (woodchuck). The record is from RNAcentral. Lineage: Eukaryota; Metazoa; Chordata; Mammalia; Rodentia; Sciuridae.